This 254-nucleotide ribosomal RNA is filed under the name uncultured bacterium. RNAcentral's name for it is "partial 16S ribosomal RNA". It matches the Rfam family "Bacterial small subunit ribosomal RNA", at positions 524 to 776 of the family's 1533-position model. The record is from RNAcentral.
UACGGGGGGAGCAAGCGUUUUUCGGAUUUACUGGGCGUAAAGGGCGCGUCGGCGGCCACCGCAAGUCGACUGUGAAAUCUCCGGGCUUAACCCGGAAAGGUCAGCCGAUACUGCGGGGCUAGAGUGCAGAAGGGGCAACUGGAAUUCUCGGUGUAGCGGUGAAAUGCGUAGAUAUCGAGAGGAACACCUGCGGCGAAGGCGGGUUGCUGGGCUGACACUGACGCUGAUGCGCGAAAGCUAGGGGAGCGAACGGG